AUAUUUUCAGGCAGCUAUUGAGCUUUUCUAGAGGAAGAGCUGAUGAAAAGAGUCACAGCUGAAUAGUGGAGAGAAAAAGCCCGGUAUUUAUUGCUUUUGUUUGGCUUUUGGCUACAGAGACAGGAACCUUCUAAUGGGCCACCUCGUUCCACACUACAAAGACCCAGAGGACACCGGACCACCAGACCACUGUACUGGGAGCUCACACCUAAGAGGUUGCUUUCAGUGGCAGAGGAAACACUGGACUUUUUUUCAGUAAUGAUGGAACUGUUAAGGCUCUGACAACUCUUAGAGAUUGUGCAAAUGUAUUUUGUAUAGUGGGAUGGACAUGAGACUUUGGGGAUCAAGGGUGGAAUGUUAUGAUUUAUACCUGUCCCCAAAAAGUCUUGUGUUAGAGGGUGUGAGUCACUGGCACUAUGACCUGGAAAGUAAUAUUCGCAUCCUUCGCUCUCUGGUUCUGGCUCUCUCUCUCUCUCUCUCUCUCUGCUUCCUGGCUCUGGCCACCAGGAUGUGAACAACUUUACUUCUCUAUACCCUUCCAUCAUGCCUCUCUGCCUCGCUCUGCCUUGGAUUCAGUUCAACAUGCAUAGGUUGAAA
RNAcentral lists this long non-coding RNA (597 nucleotides) under Heterocephalus glaber (naked mole-rat). Its description in RNAcentral is "lncRNA (ENSHGLG00100046192.1)". Lineage: Eukaryota; Metazoa; Chordata; Mammalia; Rodentia; Bathyergidae. The record is from RNAcentral.